CUAAGCCUACGGGGGGCAGCAGUGGGGAAUAUUGCGCAAUGGGGGAAACCCUGACGCAGCAACGCCGCGUGCAGGAAGAAGGUCUUCGGAUUGUAAACUGUUGUCGAAGGGGAAAAAGAGCGGAGAGAGGAAAUGGUCUCCGAUUGAUAUUACCCUUCGAGGAAGUCACGGCUAACUACGUGCCAGCAGCCGCGGUAAUACGUAGGUGGCGAGCGUUAUCCGGAAUGAUUGGGCGUAAAGGGUGCGUAGGCGGUCUGCUAAGUCUGGAGUGAA
RNAcentral lists this ribosomal RNA (273 nucleotides) under uncultured bacterium. RNAcentral's name for it is "partial 16S ribosomal RNA". It matches the Rfam family "Bacterial small subunit ribosomal RNA", at positions 333 to 598 of the family's 1533-position model. The record is from RNAcentral.